RNAcentral lists this transfer RNA (74 nucleotides) under Clostridium collagenovorans DSM 3089. It matches the Rfam family "tRNA". From Rfam's summary of the family: Transfer RNA (tRNA) molecules are approximately 80 nucleotides in length. Their secondary structure includes four short double-helical elements and three loops (D, anti-codon, and T loops). Lineage: Bacteria; Bacillati; Bacillota; Clostridia; Eubacteriales; Clostridiaceae. The record is from Rfam by way of RNAcentral.
GCACCCAUAGCUCAGUUGGAUAGAGCGACAGACUUCGAAUCUGCAGGUCGCAGGUUCAAAUCCUGCUGGGUGCA